This 497-nucleotide ribosomal RNA is filed under the name uncultured bacterium. Its description in RNAcentral is "partial 16S ribosomal RNA". It matches the Rfam family "Bacterial small subunit ribosomal RNA", at positions 28 to 507 of the family's 1533-position model. The record is from RNAcentral.
GAUGAACGCUGGCGGCGUGCCUAAUACAUGCAAGUCGAGCGAACGGACGAGAAUCUUGCUUCUCUGAUGUUAGCGGCGGACGGGUGAGUAACACGUGGAUAACCUACCUAUAAGACUUGGAUAACUUCGGGAAACCGGAGCUAAUACCGGAUAAUAUUUUGAACCGCAUGGUUCAAAAGUGAAAGACGGUCUUGCUGUCACUUAUAGAUGGAUCCGCGCUGCAUUAGCUAGUUGGUAAGGUAACGGCUUACCAAGGCAACGAUGCAUAACCGACCUGAGAGGGUGAUCGGCCACACUGGAACUGAGACACGGUACAGACUCCGACGGGAGGCAGCAGUAGGGAAUCUUGCGCAAUGGGCGAAAGCCUGACGGAGCAACGCAGCGUGAGUGAUGAAGGUCUUCGGAUCGUAAAACUCUGUUAUUAGGGAAGAACAUAUGUGUAAGUAACUGUGCACAUCUUGACGGUACCUAGUGAGAAAGCCACGGCUAACUACGUG